UUUCGCAAUGCCCGAAAGGGUGACGAAGCGACGCCGCGUGUGGGAAGAAGGCCUUCGGGUUGUAAACCACUGUCGGGAGUUAAGAAGUGUAGUGAUGUUAAUAGCAUCGCUACUUGACUAAGGCUCCGGAGGAAGCCACGGCUAACUCUGUGCCAGCAGCCGCGGUAAUACAGAGGCGGCAAGCGUUGUUCGGAAUUAUUGGGCGUAAAGAGCACGUAGGCGGCUAUGUAAGUCGGUUGUGAAAGCCUUCCGCUCAACGGGAGAACAGCAUCCGAUACUGCAUGGCUUGAGUGCGGGAGGGGAGAGUGGAACUUCUGGUGGAGCGGUGAAAUGCGUAGAUAUCAGAAGGAACGCCGGCGGCGAAAGCGGCUCUCUGGCCCAUAACUGACGCUGAGUGUGCAAAAGCUAGGGGAGCAAACGGGAUUAGAUACCCCGGUAGUCCUAGCCGUAAACGAUGGGCACUAAGUAGAGGGGUUUUA
RNAcentral lists this ribosomal RNA (479 nucleotides) under uncultured bacterium. Its description in RNAcentral is "bacterial SSU rRNA". It matches the Rfam family "Bacterial small subunit ribosomal RNA", at positions 364 to 833 of the family's 1533-position model. The record is from RNAcentral.